GUACGUAGGUGGCAAGCGUUGUCCGGAAUUAUUGGGCGUAAAGCGCGCGCAGGCGGUCCUUUAAGUCUGAUGUGAAAGCCCACGGCUCAACCGUGGAGGGUCAUUGGAAACUGGGGGACUUGAGUGCAGAAGAGGAAAGUGGAAUUCCAAGUGUAGCGGUGAAAUGCGUAGAGAUUUGGAGGAACACCAGUGGCGAAGGCGACUUUCUGGUCUGUAACUGACGCUGAGGCGCGAAAGCGUGGGGAGCAAACAGGAUUAGAUACCCUGGUAGUCCACGCCGUAAACGAUGAGUGCUAAGUGUUAGGGGGUUUCCGCCCCUUAGUGCUGCAGCUAACGCAUUAAGCACUCCGCCUGGGGAGUACGGUCGCAAGACUGAAACUCAAAGGAAUUGACGGGG
RNAcentral lists this ribosomal RNA (397 nucleotides) under uncultured bacterium. RNAcentral's name for it is "partial 16S ribosomal RNA". It matches the Rfam family "Bacterial small subunit ribosomal RNA", at positions 523 to 918 of the family's 1533-position model. The record is from RNAcentral.